CUGGGUUCAUCAAACCGCUUAAUGGACAGGCUAUAUUUUGUUUUGUUUUGUUUUUUGCUCAUAAAGGGCCAGCUUGGUUUUGGCUGCAGUCAGACGUGUGAGAGACAAGAGAGAUGCCCAGAUGCCCUUCCACAGUGCCUCUCCUUGUGCAUGGGAAAUGUGCCACGCGGCAAGAACCAGCAUGUCUGUGUCUGAAAAUGAUGUUAACCACCCUUAUAGCAGCAGAAGCAACCAAACCAGCCAAGUGGUGCUGCCUGCCAGCCCCAUGGAUAUAGGAGUGUGUGUAUUUCUGCAGACACCUGCCAACUAUGAUCCAUCCUCUACUACCUCCCCUCCAGACACAAUUUGUCAAGCGGCGUUGUCUUUACCAGUUCAGCUCUUCGAAGAAAAAGGCAACAAUACGGCAGCCUUCAGAAGAAGUUGCAAACAUGUCUGCUGCUGA
This 442-nucleotide long non-coding RNA is filed under the name Crocodylus porosus (Australian saltwater crocodile). RNAcentral's name for it is "lncRNA (ENSCPRG00005012427.1)". The record is from RNAcentral. Lineage: Eukaryota; Metazoa; Chordata; Crocodylia; Crocodylidae.